Molecule: ribosomal RNA, 625 nt
Filed under: Clostridioides difficile
Lineage: Bacteria; Bacillati; Bacillota; Clostridia; Peptostreptococcales; Peptostreptococcaceae
Description: bacterial LSU rRNA
Rfam family: Bacterial large subunit ribosomal RNA
Source: RNAcentral
CGGAGGCGCUCAAAGGUUCUCUCAGUACGGUCGGAAAUCGUACGUAGAGUGUAAAGGCAAAAGAGAGCUUGAUUGCAAGACAUACAGGUCGAGCAAGGAUGAAAAUCGGACUUAGUGAUCCGGUGGUUCUGCGUGGAAGGGCCAUCGCUCAACGGAUAAAAGCUACCCUGGGGAUAACAGGCUUAUCUCCCCCAAGAGUCCACAUCGACGGGGAGGUUUGGCACCUCGAUGUCGGCUCAUCACAUCCUGGGGCUGUAGUAGGUCCCAAGGGUUGGGCUGUUCGCCCAUUAAAGUGGUACGCGAGCUGGGUUCAGAACGUCGUGAGACAGUUCGGUCCCUAUCCGUCGCAGGCGUAGGAAAUUUGAGAAGACCUGUCCUUAGUACGAGAGGACCGGGAUGGACGUACCUCUGGUGUACCAGUUGUCCUGCCAAGGGCAUGGCUGGGUAGCUAUGUACGGAAUGGAUAAGCGCUGAAAGCAUCUAAGCGCGAAGCCAACUUCAAGAUAAGAUUUCCCACCGCAAGGGUAAGACCCCAGAAAGACUAUCUGGUUGAUAGGUCGAAGGUGUAAGUGCAGCAAUGUAUUUAGCUUAUCGAUACUAAUAGGUCGAGGACUUGACCAAUAUU